This is a long non-coding RNA of Apteryx owenii (little spotted kiwi), 1633 nucleotides long. NCBI's taxonomy places the organism in Eukaryota, Metazoa, Chordata, Aves, Apterygiformes, Apterygidae. The record is from Ensembl.
CUGUUAUGGACUCCUGGACUGGUCCCAGAAAAAUUUUCCUCUAUUAUUUUCUAGGUAUCUGUCAUUUUGUGCUAUUUGUGUUAUUGCUGAGUAUUAUCCUUAGGUUCGUUUUCAGAAAAGAACGUGAAAGAGAGGGAGAAAGAAAGAAGAGAAAGGCAGAAGUGUCCACAGUGAGACCUAAGCAAUCAAUAUCUUCCAACCGCUUCUCAGAAGAGCAGCCUUAUCAAGCCUGCACAUUUGCUACCAGGCUGCACAUUUUCUACCCUUCUUCAUGUCUGUAUGCCCAAGGGAAGUGUUUCACAGAAGAGAGGAGUUUUUCAAGCUGAUCAAGGAAGCCCCAGGAGGCUGUUUAAUUCAAAUACUCCCCAAAAAUUGCCCCAAGUGUCCUGGCUGCAGAAUGCUAUACAGGAAUGAAAACAAAGACAUCCAAGCCUUGAGCCAUUUAGAAGAGGAAGAAGCCAAAAUCCAUGCCAGAGGUUCGACUGCUGGGUUUACUUAUGGCUUCAGGCACAAAUUAAUGACCUUCAAACAGUACAGUGAUAUCGUCUUGAGCCCUCUACUCAGCCAAUCUGCUUUGCUCUCAGCUGCUGAACCAUGUCUGAUCACCCCCUUUGAAGGGGAACGUGUGAUGUUGAGGAGCAAUGAGAUGUUUGCAGAGCCAUUUGUAGAAAGAGAAGACCAUCAGGUGGAACAAGGAAGCUGUUUUCUGCAGGAGGAGCCUGAAGCCAAGUAUCAAUUUGUUUUGAAACUGAAAUCCAGAGAUACAUUUCACUUGCCCAUCAUUUGGAGGGUUCAUCUGUGUCACUCAGAAGUGGAAAAGGAUGGGGACAGACACCUGGUGGGAGAAGGGCAGAGAGAAGAGGUGGCUGGAGGAGGCAGCAAUAGUAAGGAUGGAGUGAGGAACAACCAAGUGCUUUGGCGGCCACUGCUAACAGAGCCAGGAGGGAGAAAUAAAGCCAUGUUCAAGCAGCUGGGCAGAACAAUUGUCAACUAUGCUGAGAAGGCAACAUUUACAACCCCGGUUUGCAAUAUGGGACUACAUCGAGAUCCCCAACUGUACCUCUCACUGAAGGCCCAUAGGAAAAUCCAGAGAGGUGUCAUAUCACUAAAAGAAGAAUACUGGGAAGAGGGAAAAGGUUUAACAAGGAUGAACUGGGUGAGCUGACAGGUCUACUUGUGGAACCAGAGAUCUUAAGCAAUUACUGCAGGAGAAUGAGGAGAAGUUAAGUUUAGAUUCACAGCAAGAAGUAUUUAAAGAGCCCGUUUGAGAUCAGAAACCCACUGGGAGCUGACAUCCCCAUUGAAAUCUGCUUCCAUAUUGCGCAGUGACUAUUUGCAAGAAAUUGGCCACUGAAGGAGAACUACACACCAGAUUUAUUCCAGUAACUUCAAACUCUAAGUGCAUUUGUGAAAAGAACAAUCUGCCCAUUAAAGGCCUGAAAGAAAGGUGAAAUUAAUCAAAUGAGUGAUUGAGUAUGAAUAAUUCUCCCAGUCCUUCAAAUCACCAAAUGCAGUGCAAGUCCCUUCUAACCCAACCUCUUUGUCAAAUCUUCUCCCCUUUAAAAAGCUGUUGUAUUAUUUGCCUAAAUUAUUCAUGUGCUGAAAUAAACGUGUUGGUUAUGGACUUGUCCCA